ACGCUGGCGGCAGGCCUAACACAUGCAAGUCGAGCGGAAACGACAACAUUGACCCUUCGGGUGAUUUGUUGGGCGUCGAGCGGCGGACGGGUGAGUAAUGCCUGGGAAAUUGCCCUGAUGUGGGGGAUAACCAUUGGAAACGAUGGCUAAUACCGCAUAACGUCUACGGACCAAAGAGGGGGACCUUCGGGCCUCUCGCUUCAGGAUAUGCCCAGGUGGGAUUAGCUAGUUGGUGAGGUAAUGGCUCACCAAGGCGACGAUCCCUAGCUGGUCUGAGAGGAUGAUCAGCCACACUGGAACUGAGACACGGUCCAGACUCCUACGGGAGGCAGCAGUGGGGAAUAUUGCACAAUGGGCGCAAGCCUGAUGCAGCCAUGCCGCGUGUAUGAAGAAGGCCUUCGGGUUGUAAAGUACUUUCAGUCGUGAGGAAGGCRUURRAGUUAAUAGCUUUAKYGUUUGACGUUAGCGACAGAAGAAGCACCGGCUAACUCCGUGCCAGCAGCCGCGGUAAUACGGAGGGUGCGAGCGUUAAUCGGAAUUACUGGGCGUAAAGCGCAUGCAGGUGGUUUGUUAAGUCAGAUGUGAAAGCCCGGGGCUCAACCUCGGAACCGCAUUUGAAACUGGCAGGCUAGAGUACUGUAGAGGGGGGUAGAAUUUCAGGUGUAGCGGUGAAAUGCGUAGAGAUCUGAAGGAAUACCAGUGGCGAAGGCGGCCCCCUGGACA
This 723-nucleotide ribosomal RNA is filed under the name Vibrio sp. 7B07. RNAcentral describes it as "bacterial SSU rRNA". It matches the Rfam family "Bacterial small subunit ribosomal RNA", at positions 33 to 735 of the family's 1533-position model. RNAcentral also lists the same sequence under 1 other name. Lineage: Bacteria; Pseudomonadati; Pseudomonadota; Gammaproteobacteria; Vibrionales; Vibrionaceae. The record is from RNAcentral.